UCUAAACAAGUUUUGGUCUCUAAAGGACCCCUGGAUCAAGUCUACCUCCUUGCUACUUCAAACAGUUUCAUCGCAGAUGUUUUCAGAACCCGUGGUGGGUAACAAACUGAAGGACUGAGAGGAGCUAGAGGAAAAAAAUCCUCUCUUUUCUCAUGUCAGGGGGUGCACUGUUACAUUCUGGUGGGACAGCCAGCAGAACAGGUAGUUUAGAAUGCUAUUCCUUAGAAACAGCUUGUGUAGCAACACCAAGUGUUCUUCCCUGUGUCCUAGUCUGCUCUUUUCCAUCACUGUUUCCAGCCUGAGGGAUGUCUCUGUACCGUACGAAGAGGGGCUGUGGCCAGCAAACAACAACCAACCAAGCAAAAAGCAAAGUUCUUCAGAUAAUCUCCUCCACUUCUGAUAGUGCUUGUGCCUAGAUGUUGGUGGAAGAAAAAUAGCCCCCAAAAGGGAGCAACAAUCAAAUUCUUAAUCUCUUUGAAAUAUCAGUUUGAUGCCGUGGAAGACACUGAAAGUCACAGAGACUGAAGUCUCCUGCGUAUCAAUGAGGUUGUUUUGCACUACAGCCACGUGAGUGCAGAGAAGUGCAGCAGUGGGACAGAAGGGAGUAGAGAGUGCCAAAGCCACUUCAGAACUGAGAGGACUUGAAGUUUUGAAGGCAAAAGCCAAUCAUUUAUUUUGGAAGCGGUUCUUACUCUUUACUAACACAGGCACCCUGGUGAAAGCCAGAUCCAGCCCCAAGGGCCAAGGAGAUUCAUUAAGCCAGAUUAAACAUCUCAUUUUAUUUAGGAGCAGCUGUGAGAGAUGCCUUUGCAUUGUAUGCAGCUUUCCUGCAGGAAUUUCAUGAUAGCAAACUCCUGGCACUUCCUCUCCCUGAACAAGCAGGAGUCGAUCUAGCACAAAGUCAUUAUUUUCAAUGUGUUCAGCCAGAAAAAGAAAAAAGGCAUGACUUUUAAAUCCUCACUACUAACACAGCCAAGCAGAUUCUUCUUCUGGAACUCACUUUUGGGUUGAAAAUAUGAGCAAAGAGUUCGAGCCCCUGCAGCAAUUGUCUUGGAAAGUUUUAAGCUACUGAAGAUAGCGGGUUUAGGACCAUAACUACAAUAAACACAGAAAAUGAAUAAGAGUCUUCUGGCAAGAAUAAACCAGAAUUGCAGGGGCUGAUGUUGCCAGUGAAAAGAACAGGAAGGUAACCAAGUGAAGAAACAGCAUAAGGAGGAUUAUCCUUAUUUGGAAGCAAUCCAUUCCAGCAAUAAAUUAAGCCAAGGAUCUCUGCAUCAGAAAACAGCAGGGCAACCUAUUAAGCUAAAGGACAAUCUGCUUUUUCUGUCACCUUUGAGCCCUGACCGAAUGGCGAGAGAAAAAAACAUGCCAGAGAUCAAAACAUACGUUGUUUCAGUAGCAGUAACAGUUGGAUGGAAGUUAUAGAGACUGUGAAAUCCUUUCCCUGCACAUUCCCACCACAACAAGCACCUGAUCUUCAGCAACAAUAUUCCUGGACUGCAAUGGUCAUAAAGAUCAACUCACAAAAGCGGGCUUGGAUAGAAGAAAAAUGAAAAUUUGUAUUUUAUGUCAAAAACAUAGUAGAGCUCACCCCAGCUGCUGGGAUGGGAUCAGGUGAAAUACUCAGUGCAGACUGGUGAAGCAUUUUUCACAGUGGUAUUAGAAGACAGUGGUAGAAGAGGGGAAAGAAAAUAAAUCUCUAUACACUUUUAGCUCAAAGGGGUCUCUGGAUCUGUCAGCUGUAGCACAUGAGAGUAUGUACACACUGGUGUGCUCCAGAGCCACAUUUACUGCAGGGAAGCAGCAUCCACAAUUAAGGGAUUUCUGAGGGGCAAAGACAGGCUCUGUUUCACAGGUGUUUAAAUUACAAAGCAGCAUUCCCUAAAAUGAACACCCUAUCCAGAACAGGGAAAACAGUUGAAAGAAGAGUACUACCAAAUCUUAAAUGUAUAGCAUCCACAUGUAUAAUAUGAUCAAAAAGAGAUUAGUUGGAUUUUGGA
Molecule: long non-coding RNA, 2000 nt
Organism: Columba livia (rock pigeon)
Lineage: Eukaryota; Metazoa; Chordata; Aves; Columbiformes; Columbidae
Exons: 3
Source: RefSeq, a predicted model, not a curated record